This 501-nucleotide long non-coding RNA is filed under the name Marmota monax (woodchuck). Lineage: Eukaryota; Metazoa; Chordata; Mammalia; Rodentia; Sciuridae. The record is from RNAcentral.
GACUGGACUCGGUCACUUUUUGCCCAGGACUUGGCAGAGACAUGUAACCCACAGCUCUGCUGGGGAUUUAGGAACCUGCUUGUGUGCAAGAAAACAGUAAAGAAAAUCUAAAGAAAACAAGCGGAUCCCUUUUAGGGACACCCCAAAGCCAGAAAACCCAAGCUGAUCACGGCCAGCCUCAGGGAGGAGCACUGUGCAGUCAGCUUGCCUCUUCCAGUUUGGAGACAUGCAUCUGUACAAACCUGCCUGUGCGGACAUCCCCAGCCCCAAGUUGGGGCUGCCUAAAUCCAGUGAAUCUGCUCUCAAAUGCAGACGACAUCUAACAGUGACCAAGACCCAGCCCCAGGCAGUUUGCUGGCCUGUUCGGCCCAGUGGAGCUGCAGAACGGAAAUAUCUGGAGAAGUUUUUACGCGUCCAUGGAAUUUCGCUACAGGAAACCACCAAGGCGCAGACGGGCAUGGUGUACAGGUACUGUCAAUUGCGAUAUUACCCAACCAGGGC